This 253-nucleotide ribosomal RNA is filed under the name uncultured bacterium. RNAcentral's name for it is "partial 16S ribosomal RNA". It matches the Rfam family "Bacterial small subunit ribosomal RNA", at positions 524 to 776 of the family's 1533-position model. The record is from RNAcentral.
UACAGAGGGUGCAAACGUUGUUCGGAUUUACUGGGCGUAAAGCGCGUGUAGGCGGCUUGGCAAGUCGGAUGUGAAAGCCCACGGCUCAACCGUGGAAGCGCAUCCGAAACGGCCUCGCUCGAGUCUCGGAGAGGAAGGUGGAAUACUUGGUGUAGAGGUGAAAUUCGUAGAUAUCAAGCAGAACACCUGCGGCGAAGGCGGCCUUCUGGACGAUGACUGACGCUGAGACGCGAAAGCGUGGGGAGCAAACAGG